RNAcentral lists this ribosomal RNA (538 nucleotides) under fungal sp. 144c2a. Its description in RNAcentral is "eukaryotic LSU rRNA". The stretch from base 187 to 340 matches the Rfam family "5.8S ribosomal RNA". The record is from RNAcentral. Lineage: Eukaryota; Fungi.
ACAAGGUCUCCGUUGGUGAACCAGCGGAGGGAUCAUUACCGAGUUUACAACUCCCAAACCCCUGUGAACAUACCACUUGUUGCCUCGGCGGAUCAGCCCGCUCCCGGUAAAACGGGACGGCCCGCCAGAGGACCCCUAAACUCUGUUUCUAUAUGUAACUUCUGAGUAAAACCAUAAAUAAAUCAAAACUUUCAACAACGGAUCUCUUGGUUCUGGCAUCGAUGAAGAACGCAGCAAAAUGCGAUAAGUAAUGUGAAUUGCAGAAUUCAGUGAAUCAUCGAAUCUUUGAACGCACAUUGCGCCCGCCAGUAUUCUGGCGGGCAUGCCUGUUCGAGCGUCAUUUCAACCCUCAAGCACAGCUUGGUGUUGGGACUCGCGUUAAUUCGCGUUCCUCAAAUUGAUUGGCGGUCACGUCGAGCUUCCAUAGCGUAGUAGUAAAACCCUCGUUACUGGUAAUCGUCGCGGCCACGCCGUUAAACCCCAACUUCUGAAUGUUGACCUCGGAUCAGGUAGGAAUACCCGCUGAACUUAAGCAUAU